UACAGAGGUCCCGAGCGUUGUUCGGAUUCACUGGGCGUAAAGGGUGCGUAGGCGGCUUAGCAAGUCUGAUGUGAAAUCUCCGGGCCCAACCCGGAAAUGGCAUUAGAAACUGCUGGGCUGGAGGCUUGGAGGGGGAACUGGAAUGCUCGGUGUAGCAGUGAAAUGCGUAGAGAUCGAGCGGAACACCAGUGGCGAAGGCGAGUUCCUGGACAAGACCUGACGCUGAGGCACGAAAGCCGGGGGAGCAAACAGGAUUAGAAACCCCCGUAGUCC
This 273-nucleotide ribosomal RNA is filed under the name uncultured bacterium. Its description in RNAcentral is "partial 16S ribosomal RNA". It matches the Rfam family "Bacterial small subunit ribosomal RNA", at positions 524 to 796 of the family's 1533-position model. The record is from RNAcentral.